Molecule: ribosomal RNA, 461 nt
Filed under: uncultured bacterium
Lineage: Bacteria
Description: partial 16S ribosomal RNA
Rfam family: Bacterial small subunit ribosomal RNA
Source: RNAcentral
GAUAAACGCUGGCGGCGUGCCUUAUGCAUGCAAGUCGUACGUGAGACCGGCUUCGGCCGGUUGAAAGUGGCGAACGGGUGAGUAACACGUAGGAACCUGCCCGGCAGUGGGGGAUAACUCCGCGAAAGCGGGGCUAAUACCGCAUGUGGUCGCAAGACCAAAGCUUCGGCGCUUCCGGAGGGGCCUGCGGCGGAUUAGCUAGUUGGUGGGGUAACGGCCUACCAAGGCGACGAUCCGUAGCUGGUCUGAGAGGAUGGUCAGCCACACUGGAACUGGGACACGGUCCAGAAUCGUACGGGAGGCAGCAGAGAGGAAUUUGGCGCAGUGGGCGAAAGCCUGACGCAGCAACGCCGGGUGGGGGAAGAAGGCCUUCGGGUUGUAAACCCCUUUUGCGAGGGAAGAAGAUCUGACGGUACCUCGCGAAUAAGCCACGGCUAACUACGUGCCAGCCGCCGCCGUAA